Molecule: long non-coding RNA, 389 nt
Organism: Hordeum vulgare subsp. vulgare (domesticated barley)
Lineage: Eukaryota; Viridiplantae; Streptophyta; Magnoliopsida; Poales; Poaceae
Exons: 3
Source: RefSeq, a predicted model, not a curated record
GCGCUAAGUAUUUCAAUCCAGUUUUCUACCAUUACUACCUUGAAGAUAUGUCAAGGACAAGAAUUAACGUUGUUGAAUCCAAUGAAGAGUAUAUGAUGGAAGAACCAAUUGAACAUCAUAAUUUUGGUGAAAAAGAUCUCGAAUCAUUCGAUGUCCAUGAAAGAACUACUAAUGGUGAAGAAGGCUUCACCGAUUGUGAUGAUGCUGAUGCGGAUGAAAAUGAAGACGCUGAAAAUGCAGAAACAAAAGAGUGUAAGAAGAGGAAGCUGGAAUAUAUUUGGAACCUUCCAAAAGGGAAAAGGAUAAUGGUUCGCUGCAAUGACAUAGACCAGCCAAUUGGAAAAGAGGCUAAACACCUUGGGAACUUUCUUGGCUCAGUUGCAAGGAAU